AGCGAACGCUGGCGGCAGGCUUAACACAUGCAAGUCGAGCGGGCCCUUCGGGGUCAGCGGCAGACGGGUGAGUAACACGUGGGAACGUACCCUUUGGUUCGGAAUAACGCUGGGAAACUAGCGCUAAUACCGGAUACGCCCUAUUGGGGAAAGGCUUGCUGCCGAAGGAUCGGCCCGCGUCUGAUUAGCUAGUUGGUGAGGUAAUGGCCUACCGAGGCGACGAUCAGUAGCUGGUCUGAGAGGAUGAUCAGCCACACUGGGACUGAGACACGGCCCAGACUCCUACGGGAAGCAGCAGUGGGGAAUAUUGGACAAUGGGCGCAAGCCUGAUCCAGCCAUGCCGCGUGAGUGAUGAAGGCGUUAGGGUUGUAAAGCUCUGUUGUCCGGGACGAUAAUGACGGUACCGGAAGAAUAAGCCCCGGCUAACUUCGUG
This 433-nucleotide ribosomal RNA is filed under the name uncultured bacterium. RNAcentral's name for it is "partial 16S ribosomal RNA". It matches the Rfam family "Bacterial small subunit ribosomal RNA", at positions 29 to 507 of the family's 1533-position model. The record is from RNAcentral.